Long non-coding RNA from Magnolia sinica, 1765 nucleotides. RefSeq lists it as uncharacterized. Lineage: Eukaryota; Viridiplantae; Streptophyta; Magnoliopsida; Magnoliales; Magnoliaceae. The record is from RefSeq and is a predicted model, not a curated record. The transcript has 5 exons.
CUCUCUCUCUCUCUCUCUCUCUCUCUCACUUCGUGAAACUCCAUUUCUGCUAGCUUUUCUCACUCGACCUCAAUUCAUCCCCACCGAAUCGUCUCUCUUCCUAAGAUCUUUACCUUCCGUUCGGAACAUCUCUCUCGAUCGAGGUAAGUAUCAUUAAAAUCGGUGAUCCGACGCUCCGAAUCGAGGAUAUGGAGAAAUCGGAGGCCGAAUUGCGGAUCUGUGUUGAGAAGCUGCGGCAGAACGUUGAGGAGCGGGAUGAGAUGAUCCGGUUCAUGUCAGGAAGGUGGAUGAUGAGGAGGAUGUGAAGGAAGCAGAGAUCCGUGGGCACGAAUCGAAGAGCAGGGCCACGGUUGGCAGGAAUGUGGAAGAAGGCGGCGAUUUAGGGGAGUAUUGCAUGGAUUUUUCGAGGAUUGGGAGAAUUAGGGUUUCGCUGGGGUCUAAGCACACCUUCCUCGCCUUCUCUCCCAGUUCCUGAAAGGAAUUUAGUAGAUCCGUCCAGCGGGCUGUCUAAGCUGGAUCAGCCAAAAAAGCUACUGGGAUCACUAUCUGGAUCGGAUCAACUGAAAAGGUCACCAGCAUCAUUGCCCGGGUUGGAUCCACCAAAAAAGCCACCUGAAUUGCCAAACACGGUAGUUCUGAGGAAGCCGCUAUCUCCAUUAACUUACAAGGACUAUUUUGCUGCUUUGCUCUAUUCUGAGGACUACCACCUUGAGUGGUAUGCCAGAGUGUAAGCUUGAACUGAAUGACAGAGUGCUUUUGGAGGCUCAAGGUCGAAUAACAAAGGGAAAAGCCAUUGAUCUGGAUGAUAUCAAGUUUCAUCAGUGUGUGCGUUUGGCCCGUUUUGAAAAUGACAGGACAAUAUCCUUCAUUUCGUCCGAUGGAUCCUUUGAUUUGAUGACCUACAGACCCAGUACUCAGGUUUAUGUUUUGCUUCUGCAAUGUAUAUUGGUUAAUGCUGCUACUACCGCCAACCCAGUUUCAGAACUUACAAUGUUUAUUGAGGCUAAUUCCAUCUUCGGUUUCAGGUCAAACCUUUGACCUAGGUGGAAGCUCAAGUUGAAAGGCAUUCGAGAAGUCGUAUAGAGAUCAUGGUAAAGGCGAGGAGUAAGUUCAAGGAGCGCAGCACAGCUACAAAUGUGGAGAUUGAGCUGCCUGUACCUGCAGAUGCAACAACCCCCAAUAUAAGGACUUCCAUGGGUUUUGCAGCAUACGCACCUGAAAAUGAUGUGUUGCACUGGAAAAUAAAAUCUUUUCCUGGUGGCAAGGUUUAAUGCUAAACUCCCCUUUUUCCAACUGCUGGCUGUUAGUGUUUAAGGUUGGUCUCUUGACAUGUUUUAAACUGAUCAAUUAGGAAUAUAUGCUAAGAGCAGAAUUUAGUCUUCCCAGUAUACCUUUUUACAUCAUGGGAUAAGACAGAGCAUCACUUCACUUUUCUCACAUUUUGUCAAAGGUGUGAAGGAGCUUGAGGCAAAAUGGAUUGGAUGGGCUGGUCUCUGUGUUCUGGAUGAAAUUGGGCAGUGAUCACUUACCAAAGCACUAGCAGAAAAGGUUAGUGAGAUGUAAUUUUCAUUAUUAACUUGUCUUUGGCCUUGAAUUUAUAAAUAUAUUGGCUGUUUCGCUUUUGAUCUAGCAUUAAGAGUUUGAUACCUUAGUUUUAUGGGUUGACAUAGAUUUUCCUCUGUGAAGAGUCAAUGUUAACAUUUCUGGUCUUGGAUUGCCUUAUGAAGUGUGUUUCACUCAUUGCAAACAGAAAUGCGUUCCAAUC